This 1145-nucleotide unclassified non-coding RNA is filed under the name Stegodyphus dumicola. Its description in RNAcentral is "iron-sulfur protein NUBPL-like, transcript variant X3". Lineage: Eukaryota; Metazoa; Arthropoda; Arachnida; Araneae; Eresidae. The record is from RNAcentral.
AAACGUGCACUACCUUUGGAACAGAAUGGCAGAAAUAUCUUCAAUAACUUUUAUUUAUAGUUCUAAACUUGAAGCUUUUAUUUUCUGAUUUGCAAAAAUUUUCACCUCCUAAAAUCUUUCUUCCUUUAAAAAAUAUGCAUAAAUGCAUUUGCACUGUCAACUUUGAAAGCAACUCAGUUAGUUGCAUAUUAUCAAAAACAAAAAUUAACUGUUUCUGACACCAUUUCACUAUUGAUUUAUUUUAUAACACUAACUGCUCAGAUAAAAAGUACAAAGUAUAAAUUUACAGAACUUUAAUAAAUUAUUUUUAAAACGUUGGUUUAUAAUCCGAACAAAGCAUAUAUGAUAAAUUACAUUAUCCUGGUUGGAUAGACCUUGGGCGCUUCACCAUAUUCAGUUAAACGCUCAAGCAAACAGGAUCAAUUGAUUGUAUUUAAUCCAAAGGAAGAAAGAAAAAUAUUCAAAAAAUUAAUAAUUGACUACUUUGUUCCAUAAAAGUAAUUUUAGUACUACCUUAAGAACCAAAAGUUUUAAUUCCUUUAUUUAUGUAGUACUUAAAUUUACUUUAGUUUGCAAAAUUAGAUAUUUUGAUGGUUGUCACACUGUAUAUUUAACUGUCUUAACUGGAUUAGAGAUUCAUCGGCUUAGAAAAUAUUAUAUAAUUAUCGAUAGGGGUAUGUUUGUUUAUGUUCUCAGGAGUACUAAGGUUCACUGCUGCUGCAAAAUUUUAAAAGCUCAGUUAUUUGCUUCUUUAUCAGUCAAAUAGUUUCUGUUUAGUCUUGGUGUUAUGCACUUAAUAACUGAAAAAUUUAAUGCUCGUAGUUGUUAUCUAGGUUGAAAAAAAGUGUUUGAUAAGAAUCUGUAUUUUCUAAAAAUUUAUAGCUUAGUUCUUGCUUUAUUUUAUUUCGUACUUAUACAUUUUAGUAUGUCCAUGGGUUUUCUAGUGGAUGAAAAAUCACCAAUUGUUUGGAGAGGACUUAUGGUGAUGUCUGCAAUUGAAAGACUGUUUCGAAAGUUCUGAAAGAAGUUUUGCUUGUGCAGGUUGCAUGGGGUCCUCUGGAUUAUUUGAUAGUAGAUAUGCCACCUGGUACUGGAGACACUCAACUGUCGAUCUCACAAACAAUACCUGUAUCAGGUAGUUUCAU